AUAAGCAGGAGUAACAGGUAACCUGAAGUGUCACCUCCAAGAACGGGACCCAGCCCCACAAUGAGGAAGCAAUUUAACUCUGCCUUAGCCUUGAAAAUGUGACAAAACUGAGUUGGACAGCAGUCUUGAGACACAUGGGACAAAAGGCGAGAUUCGUUCUGUCCGGGGAAAAACAAGAUUUUCAGGACAAAUGAGAGAGUGACAGAUUCAUAAAGAGAGUGACAAAUUCAUCGAUGAAGACUGCGGAGAGGAGAGGUGAGGAAGCCACAGGCAGUCAGCAGAAAGCAGUGAGCUGCUCCCUCCACAGGCCCGGCAGCGGCAGCCCCGCGAUCUCCAGGGUGGACGUCGGUACUUCAUGGCAACCUGCACUGCCAGGUGCUCCUGCCCAACUGUCGGCUAACAUUUACCCAUUCCAAGCGCACUUAAGAAAAGAAAUCUAGGGUGUUGGCUACGUUUGCUCAUGUUGAGAAUGCAAAAGGCCACUGUUUCUUAAGCGGCUCUUGCACAACAAAGAAAAACUACCUGCUCCCUGGCCCAGCUGCCUGCUUUGCUGGAGAAGGCAGGCGGGGUGGAGACUCCUCCAGGAGGUGUUUAAUAAUCUGCAAAGGUCCAGACAGCAACCCGGGGCAGACACAGCUCAAGCCAGCCAACCUGACCAUUGGAAAGAAAGGAGGAGAAUGCACACUUUCCUGGGUUCAGCUCUCUGGGGUCCCCAACACCUCCUCUUUGUGGCCAUCUUGUCCCCUGGCACCAAAGCUGAGCUCAGAGGAAAGCACCUGCCAUGAUCCACUCUGUCUCUGCCGCCUCCCUGCCCACUCCUGUGGGAAGCUCCCUCUCGGCAUCUGUCCGUCAUCAGCAUCUGUCCGUCAUCGGCAUCUGUCUGUCACGGGUCAUCUGCCGCACCACACUGAGAACCCAUGAGUGCCAAAUGUCCCCCGUCAGCUGGCCCACCCGCAUUUCAUCUUCCUGGCUUAAGAAGGUUAAAAUCACCAGAAUAAUCAGGAACUAAACAGUGAAUCUUCUCUUUCUGACCUGCCCAACUCUUAGCCUUAUUUGUGACCCCCAGAAGUCUUAACUACUUAUAUUCAAGUCUGUGUUUUCCUGAAUUAACAGUCACUCAGCAUUGAAUGGCAAACUAUUUCUCACAAAAAUUGUAUCGGUGGAAAAAAAGUGAAACUUGUUCACUACACCCUUAAGUAUCAACUGAGAAAGAAUCUGCUAAAGCCACAAACGACCAUUCUGUACAACUUUCAAUGCAUCAUUUACUGUACUAAAUUUCAAAGAACAUUCUCGAAUGCUAAAAUAAAUCAAUGCCCAAACACAGUGUCUUGUCAGCUCAUGCAAUAUAGGUUAAAUAGUACCAUAUGGCAAAGACAGACACAUGUUGCCCUUUUCUGAAACAAAAAAAUUCCUAAACAAAUGUCCUUUACUUUCACAUGGGAAGAGUGGGGGAUUAGAGAGUUCUUCAAGUGUUAAUAGCGCUGAAAAAUUUUUAAUUCUUAGCCAUUAACAAGAAAUUAUAGUUUUAAUAGAGAACCUUGAUUUUUUAAGCCU
This 1554-nucleotide long non-coding RNA is filed under the name Homo sapiens (human). Its description in RNAcentral is "HSALNT0395233". The record is from RNAcentral. Lineage: Eukaryota; Metazoa; Chordata; Mammalia; Primates; Hominidae.